Long non-coding RNA from Xenia sp. Carnegie-2017, 160 nucleotides. RefSeq lists it as uncharacterized. The transcript is spliced from 2 exons. Lineage: Eukaryota; Metazoa; Cnidaria; Anthozoa; Malacalcyonacea; Xeniidae. The record is from RefSeq and is a predicted model, not a curated record.
CCUAACAGGAAAAACGUCCAAUUCUCACAAAGAUAAAACACCAAAGCCUUCAUUAGAUGCUUCAAAAGUUGCUGCACUGUUUUAUGUGGUUGUAAAAAAAUUUCGAUUACCUGACAAAAAAAUGGUGAAAGGAUUCAUAAAGGCAAAGCUAAACAACAGC